AUGUCAUCUUCAGAAUGGAAAGUUUGUCUCUGGACUCUGGAGCAGACGGGAGGAAGGAAACCCAGCAACGAGAAAGAACGAGAUGGAAGCGUGAUGCAGGUGGAGGCUGCGAGUCUGUGUGCAUCUCCUCUCGGCUCCUCCUCCCGAAGACGACCCGGUACCAUCGUGAGGGGCGGUCCGUCUCCGGAGACCAUUUCUGAUCACUGCAGCCAAGAUUCCCUGGAGAAGGCCAUUCUGCUGACCACUAUACCCCCAAUGCCUUGGUCAGUUAGGACUCUCUGGGGAAGACAGCACCAUAAAGAGCAAGACCAGACCAGGUGA
RNAcentral lists this long non-coding RNA (321 nucleotides) under Oryctolagus cuniculus (rabbit). Its description in RNAcentral is "lncRNA (ENSOCUG00000035635.1)". The record is from RNAcentral. Lineage: Eukaryota; Metazoa; Chordata; Mammalia; Lagomorpha; Leporidae.